Long non-coding RNA from Papilio xuthus (Asian swallowtail), 310 nucleotides. RefSeq lists it as uncharacterized. Lineage: Eukaryota; Metazoa; Arthropoda; Insecta; Lepidoptera; Papilionidae. The record is from RefSeq and is a predicted model, not a curated record. The transcript has 2 exons.
UGCACCGAUAGACGUUCGAAAGCGCAGUUUCUGUCCGUCUGUCACGAUGCGUGCCAUAAUACUCUUGUCGCUCUUUAUCAUAUCUAUCUCCUUUGUCAAAACUGCACCACAAUCAAAACUACAAGUAAACCCAGAUGUAGAAGGCAAGCCGUUCGUCGAGGAGGUGUUGGUGGAGUCAAUGCUGCAUGUAAGGAGUCCAUCACUGGGUCGCAGUUCCCGCACCAACACAAACACUAACCUACAAGACGGCACCAGAGUCACCGAGAACAAGAUUUAAUAUGUCUUAUAUAUUGUAAUAAUUGUUAAAAAA